Long non-coding RNA from Zea mays, 930 nucleotides. RefSeq lists it as uncharacterized. NCBI's taxonomy places the organism in Eukaryota, Viridiplantae, Streptophyta, Magnoliopsida, Poales, Poaceae. The transcript is spliced from 3 exons. The record is from RefSeq and is a predicted model, not a curated record.
GAUAAAGCCAUCCACGUCGUCAAAAAAAAUUCGAACCAUCCGAUCGUCAAUCACCGGUUGAUGUCUCUUCUCGCUCGCAAAGCUCUCCGCUCGAAGCUCCACGUUAGUGGACGGAACCGGCCUCCGCGACGCUUCCAGAACCACCGCCUCAUCCCCUUCCCCCUGAUACGACGCCCCUCUCCCUUUUGGGCGGCGACACCGUGGGGAGCUGUCGCGGCGCGCUCCGCUCCUCCCUGCACCUCAUCCCCUUCCCCCGCUCCCCCUCACACGUCGCUGUGUUGGAAGUCUAGAACCUUCCCCAAUCACCCACACAGCCACACCUGGGCACCUGGCCCCGCCCAACUUCCAUUUAUGCACAGGCGGACUGGAAAAAAAGGCCCAGAGGCAGUGCCGUGACCGAUUCAAGACGCAAGAGAAGGAUCGAGACGAGGCGGCGGUUUUCCGGGGGCAGCAUCGUCUCGGCCACAAAGGCCUUCGACGAAGUUAUUUCAGAGCUGGAUAGUCUUGGGGAAGAGUCGUACAAGGAUAGCACCCUCAUCAUGCAGCUUUUUCGUGACAACCUCACCUUGUGGACUUCUGACAUGCAGGAGGAUGGUGGCGAUGAAAUGCGGGACCAGUACAUGAUCAUUUACAUGUAUAGGAACAUUCAAUCUGUACGAUAAACACAGUUAGACUCAUAUACUCUACCUUUAAAGUAGAGAUGAAGUGACUCAUAGAGGCAGAGAUUUUAUUAUCCAAAAUCUAGAUUCUAGAGAUCUGGAUUCUAGAAUUCCCUAGGAAUCACCCUCCGCGGCGAGUGCCAGCGUGUCACGCUCGUGGAGUAAACUGUGCAAAAAAGGAUCUAGAUUACUGCAAAAUGGAAGGUAUGUAUCCUCAUUGGAAAAAAAUAUUUACUGAACAUUUAUAAUUUACAAUUCAGAUUUAAAAAUA